UACAGAGGUCCCAAGCGUUGUUCGGAUUCACUGGGCGUAAAGGGUGCGUAGGUGGUGAGGUAAGUCGGAUGUGAAAGCUCCGAGCUCAACUCGGAAAUGGCAUUGGAAACUACCUUGCUCGAGGGUUUGAGGGGGGACUGGAAUACUUGGUGUAGCAGUGAAAUGCGUAGAUAUCAAGUAGAACACCAGUGGCGAAGGCGAGUCCCUGGAAAACUCCUGACACUGAGGCACGAAAGCUAGGGGAGCAAACAGGAUUAGAAACCCCAGUAGUCC
Molecule: ribosomal RNA, 273 nt
Filed under: uncultured bacterium
Lineage: Bacteria
Description: partial 16S ribosomal RNA
Rfam family: Bacterial small subunit ribosomal RNA
Source: RNAcentral